UACGAAGGGGGCUAGCGUUGUUCGGAAUUACUGGGCGUAAAGCGCGCGCAGGCGGUCUUCCAAGUCAGUGGUGAAAGCCCGGAGCUCAACUCCGGAACUGCCAUUGAAACUGUAAGACUUGAGGAUGAGAGAGGUGAGUGGAAUUCCCAGUGUAGAGGUGAAAUUCGUAGAUAUUGGGAAGAACACCGGUGGCGAAGGCGGCUCACUGGAUCAUAUCUGACGCUCAGGCGCGACAGCGUGGGGAUCAAACAGG
Molecule: ribosomal RNA, 253 nt
Filed under: uncultured bacterium
Lineage: Bacteria
Description: partial 16S ribosomal RNA
Rfam family: Bacterial small subunit ribosomal RNA
Source: RNAcentral